UUAUAGUGAUGCUCCACUUAAUGGAUUGGACUGUGUAUUGAUGGUGGAUGGCAAGGUGAUCGCGUAUGCUUCUCGCCAACUAAAGGAAUAUGAAAAGAACUACCCGACGCAUGAUUUGGAGUUGGCGGCCGUAGUGUUCGCAUUGAAGCUAUGGCGCCACUAUCUUUAUGGCGAGCGGUGUGAGGUGUACACGGAUCACAAGAGCUUGAAGUACCUGUUUAUUCAGAAGAAGUUGAACUUGAGGUAGCGCUGAUGGUUGGAGCUACUCAAGGAUUAUGAUCUGACGAUCCUCUACCACCCGGGCAAGGCUAACGUGGUGGCGGAUGCGCUAAGUAGGAAAUCGAUGGAAAACUUAGCGAUGCAUGUUGUGACUCAACCGCAGUUGAUCGAGCAGAUGAAGCAGUUGGAGUUGGAGAUAGUGACUCCUGACACACCCUUGAGAUUGAUGACCUUGGUAGUGCAACCUACUCUUUUGGAUAGAAUCGAAGAGAAGCAAGUUUCCGAUUUGGAAUUGCAAAAUAUUCGAGGUAAAAUGGUUGAUGGUUGCACCAGCGACUUCCUUUUGGAUGAUCAGGGAUUUAUGCGUUUCCGUGGGCGGAUUUGUGUACCCGCAGAUUCGGGGAUUAAAGAGGAUAUCCUUCAUGAAGCGCACCGAGCACCGUAUGCUAUACAUCCGGGAGGCACCAAAAAUGUAUAAGGACUUAAAGUUACUCUACUGGUGGCCCGGGAUGAAAAAGGAUGUUGGCGAGUUCAUUGCUAGAUGUUUAACUUGCCAACAAGUGAAAGCGGAGUACCGAGUUCCCGCAGGGAGGCUUCAAAGUUUACCUAUUCCUGUGUGGAAGUGGGAGAAGAUCACCAUGGAUUUCGUGACAGAAUUGCCUCGCUCUCAAGCAGGGCACGAUGCUAUUUGGGUGAUCGUGGAUAGGUUGACGAAGUCGGCGCACUUCAUACCUAUUCAUACGACUUGGACUGGAGAGAAGCUCGCACAAGUGUACCUUGAUGAGAUUGUGCGAAUUCAUGGAGUGCCUACAUCGAUCGUAUCCGAUCGCGACACGCGCUUCGUGUCUCACUUUUGGAGGAGUCCGCAGGACGCCUUAGGCACCCGAUUGGAUUUCAGUACAGCAUUCCACCCGCAGAGUGAUGGACAGUCGGAGCGCACUAUACAGACCUUAGAGGAUAUGCUCCGGGCAUGUGUGAUAGAUUUCCAGGGAGGAUGGUCGCAGCAUCUACCUAUGGCGGAGUUUGCUUAUAACAACAGUUAUCAAGCAAGUAUCAAGAUGGCGCCCUUCGAAGCACUUUUAUGGACGGAAGUGUAGAUCGCCACUCCAUUAGAGUGAAGUCAGCGAGAGACUGGCUUUAGACCCUGAUGUGCUCCAGGAAGCUGAGGACAAGGUUCGCAUUGCUCGGGAGCGACUUGGGACAGCGCAGAGUAGACAGAGGAGCUACGCUGACCGACGGCGGCGAAACUUGGAGUUCCAAGUUGGAGACCAUGUUUUCUUGGAGGUCUCGCCGACUAGAGGGAUAAAGAGAUUUGGGAUUCGGGGAAAGUUGAGCCCCCGUUUCAUUGGACCGUAUGAGAUCUUGGAGCGUGUAGGUCCGGUAGCGUAUCGACUUGCUCUACCACCGAACCUAUCCGGCGUGCACAACGUCUUUCACGUAUUGGUCCUUCGGAGGUACAUUCACGACCCAGCUCACGUUUUGGAGACUAUACCAGUGGAGCUGCGUGAGGAUUUGAGCUUCGAGGAGCAACCAGUGAAGAUUUUGGCUCGCGAGGUGAAGAAGCUGCGGAAUCAGGAUAUUCCGUACGUAAAGGUUCUUUGGAGCAACCACGGGGAGCGAGAGGCUACGUGGGAGCUGGAAAGCGCGCUGCAGGAGCGCUAUCCCCAUCUUUUUCAGAUGGAGCCGUGAGGUAUGCUUUGACUUUCGAGUUUCGCGGACGAAACUCCUUUUUAGGAGGGGUGAAUGUGACGCACUGGACCUUGCAAAUUGUGGGGUUCGAGUGAUUGAAUGGGUUCUUAGCGUUUCCAGACUUUCUGGUGGGUCGUUGACAGUGUUCCGACCUAUGGUUCGAGUCCCGAGAAUGGUGGUUUCAAAACCUUGCAUCAAAAUCUAAAAAGUUAUAUUUUGGUUAGCUCUCGGUUAGCCUUCUGCAGGCUGUGUACCGGUACGGGUUCGCUUGCUGUACCGGUACGGGGUUGAUGGCUGUACCGGUACGGAGUUGUGUACCGGUAGACAGCCCAUUUCCCAGCAAACCCGAGGCUCGGGUUUGGCGUUUCGUGGGUUGUGUACCGGUACACAAACCGGUGUACCGGUACGCAGUACAGAUUUUGGCUGUUUCGUGGAGGGGUAUUUUUGCAAUUGUUGCAACAUCUAUUUAAGCACACCCCAGCCCCUUGGAGGCUGUUUUGAGCCCUAGAACAGUGGAGAGCAAGGUAAGAGGAGUUCCCUUUGAUUUCUUCUCCAUUUUUGAUGGAUUUUGGUUGGUUUUGACCUCUCCUCUCUUCUCAACCUUGCUUUUUGUUGGGUUUCCUCCAUUGUUGAAGGCUUGGAGCUUGUAGAGGAGCUUGUUUGAGAGGAGAUGUUCAACUCCACUUGGUUUGGGACUUGGUUUUGAGCUUCUUGUGAGGUUGGUAAGCCUAAUCUUUUAUUAGGGUUAAAAAUGGGGAUUUUUGAUUUGAGAACUUUGGAACCAAAUUGAUUGGUUUAGAACUUUGAUUUAGGUUGGAUUUGAAGGAUUCUAACUCCCGUUUGGAGAUCGAGAGAGAUUUUUUAGCUUUCGGUGAGUUUUCUCCAACCUAGCUAUAGAAGCUUAAUGAUUGAGCUUAGCGGCGUUCGUUUCGGUUAGGUGACACUUGUUUUCAUACCUCUAGGGUGCUAGGAGGCUAGAGGACAACUUCGUCGGAGCAAACGAAGGGUUUCGUCUACCGUUGGUGGGUUUGACUUCAUGAAAAUGGGGCAAAAUGGCCCCUAUGUCUUUUAAACUUUUCGUAAAGUAUUCUUGAAUGCAAACUCAUGCUAAACAUGAUUUAUGUGAAUUUUAGAACACUUAACCUGCAUGCCUCAUGUAUCGUAAAAUUUGUACUCCAUAUAGUAGAGCUAUAUGUGUAGAUUGCAUGCAUUAUGGAUAGUGCUUAGUUUUGCAAGUUGAGAACAUGUCUCCAUGCUAGAAUUGAGUGAACUAUGCAUCAUGAACAUAUUAAUGCCAUGCUUGGGACUCGUUGAACAAAAGUGUCAUAAAGGGGCACUUGGAAUUAGCAAACUAUGAAAAUGCAACUUAGAGACAUGAUGAUAAGCCAUUGUACAUCUGCUAUAUUCCAUGUUAGAGACAUGAUGACACAGAGAUAGGCUAUUGAGAUACUUGAUAUAUUUCAUGUUUUAGACAUAAGGACUUGGUACAUGAGACAGAUCAUUGCUUGCUUGCCAUUGUGCUUAUUCGCACAUGCUUGUGAGGGUCGCUCCCUACAAGCUGGCACUCCGGAGAUAGCCAUCGCGACAUAUGCUCGCCCGUGCGGGAUUGGGCGCCGAAGUGGAUUGCCGUGGGGGAGGCUCAUCCCUAGAGUGGGGUUGUUGACUACCACGGGGCCAUUAGGCACGGCACAGGCCAGACAGCCUUCGGGUGGGUCUUAUAUGAUUGGGACUUAGUGACAGAACAUGCUAUGUGAACUUUAAAACUAUUAAAGUGGACUUGGACUAGAAUAGUAAACAAUGACAUCUUUACUGUUUUUGCAUCGAAGACAUCGGAUUGGUUGCAUUUCUAUGCUUAUGCAUGUCAUACACAUCCAUGUACAUUCAUGAUAUUGUUGCUUUAUUACUUAAGCAAAUCAUGCUAAGUAAAGACUCUAUGUUAUAGUAAGUUACAUUUUACUUACCUUUCGCUUUACUACAUUGUUAGUCACUGACCUCUUUUCGUAGCUUUUGGGCCUUGUGGCGCAGUUCACUGAAGUCAGUAAUUGCCCACUGGGAACUAUUUUUUAAUAGUUCUCACGCCCCAUUUUCUGGUUUUCUUUCAGAGCCUUCUGCACCGGCGGAGACACGGGAUCGCGGCAAGGGGAUCGCAUAACUAGCUAGCGAGGAGCGGUUCUUGCCUAGGUAGUUUGCUCUUUCUUUUUGUAGUUGAGAGAGAGUGAGAGAUUUUGUAUCCAUGUAUAGAGACCACCUAUGUAUCUACCUUUGGCACUUGUAUUUGGGAUUUUAUUUGUAUUACUUUAUGGUUUUAUUAGUGGAUUCCGGUUUUAUGCUCCUUUCUUUAUUGUAGAACUUAGUAUUAUAUCAUGCUCUUAUACUCCUAGUUGUCUUUUAUUACCGCUUUAUUUAUUGUUGUUUUUAGACGCCUUAUAUGUUUUAGAUGUAUGGCGGGUCUGGGCACGCGCCGUGCGGGCUUCCGCUGGGUCCCGGGGCGUGACAAACGCAUCCCUCGAUAGCAAGCUAGCUCGAGGCGAUACCCUUUCCGCGGUCCCUAGCCUCUCCCGGCGUGGAAGGCUCUGAAAUAAAAAUAUGAAACAAAGGGCGUGAGAAUUAUAAUUUAUAGUUCCCAGUGGGUAAUUACUGACCUCAGCUCAAUGCACCACUAGGCCCCAAAAGAAAAGGGUAAGUACGAUAAGCAACAAUAAUAAUAAUGAUAACCGCGGUAGGAAAGCAUGUAAGUUUACUAAGAUUACUAUACCAUAAGCAUUACGAUGUCAAUGUGUUGUACAUUUUCUCUUUCAUAAUGAAGUAUGUCCAAUGCAUAAAACAAUAUGUCCCGACAUGGCAACAAGUAAAUAUCAUGAUCCGUUCUAUCAAUGUAUGAUGAUUAUGAUCUGUCAUGGCAACCAAGUAUACUAUGAUGCAACAAGUAAACUGUCAAGUAUACUACAUGUCUCAACACUAUGCUAUAAGCAUGUCAAAGUAAUCCAACUACUAAGCCUAUCUAGUAGUGAUUGUCAUUUUCCUGUUCAAUGUCAUUGUUUCCAACAGGUUCUAGGACCUACAUAGUGUAGUCUAGCUUGUGCCACCUAAGUGUCGGUGGUAGCUCCAGCAUUCCCACUCUAGGAAUGAGUCUAUCCCUCCCGACCCCGUAGGUUUCUCGAUACCGUACGAGUGAACAUAAGUCGCGUAGGCCAUGUAAGGAAGUGAAUUCUCGAAAUUCGAGAGUUGUACUUCAUCCAGGAUCGGCUGAUUGUCGAGUGAGUAUCCUUCGGAAAAGCUAAAUAUGUCCAAGACACGAAAAGUGCCUUGGCAGAGAGUCCGCGAGAGCAAAUACGCGAAAAUCUGAACUUAGCAGUUUUGCUCUCAGGGACCGGUCCCUAGAGGGGAGGACCGGUCCCCAUAGCUGAGGGUUGCGGGUUUGCUUGAUGCAACCGGUCCCUGGGCUGGGGGACCGGUCCUCGUAGGUGAAACCCACGAGACAGAGUGAAAUUUGGCUAAGUCCUGAAAAUCGAGCUCUCGGAGACCGGUCUCUCAGGCGAGGACCGGUCUCCCGAAGACCGGUCUCUCGGGGAGAGACCGGUUCCCGAAUGCGAGGAGGCCUUCUGGCCGCGGGGACUGCUCUCAGGGACCGGUCUUCCCGACGAGGUAUCGGUCCCUCUGGGCGUAGAAUGCCCAGUGAAGGCAGGUUGAGAGAUGAAAAGUUAAGGAGCUAAACUGGUUUUUGUUACAAUAGAGGGGCUUAUGAGCCCACUCCCUCUCUUAUUCUCUCAUUUCUCUCUUUCCCUCUCUCACACUCUUUUGCUCUUUCUUUCUAGAAAAGAAAGGAGAAGAAGAAGAACAAGAAGGAGAGGAAGGAAAGGAAGAAGAAGAACAAGAUGAAGAAGGAGAAGGAGAUCAAGAGGAAGGCUUUGGACACCUUCAACUCCCUCUCAUCUUCUCUUUGGAGUAGCUCUAGAGGUAAGCUACUAAACCCUUGCUUCUAGAACUUAGGGUUUUGGGUUUUGAUGCUUUGGAAUGGGUCAAAUAGACCCUAAGCAUGCUUCUAAGUAGAUCAAUCUCAAGAAUCUAGGGAUUUAUUGAUGGUUUGCUAUAGGUGCAAACCUAGGGCUCCAAAAUGGGGUUUUUGAGAAAGUAUGAGAUUGAUCUCAUUUGAGGCCUCGUAAACCUAAUUGGUAUGUCACAAAACGUGGGGGCGAAGUCGAUUUUGCGAUUCGUCGAGUGGGAUUGGAGCUAUCGGCGAAAUACGGCCGAUUUAGCAUUGUCUUAGACCAAGGAAGGCUAAAGCCUUUUCGUAAAGUUCGCCGAGGGACAUUUCUAAAGCCUCUACGUCGGUAAAAGGUGGGGGGUGCCAUCCCAAAGCUUUCGAACUCCUUUCUAUGUCUUAGAUUGCAUUUAAUCUCAUCUCUCACAUGUUGCAUUGUACAAUUGCAUAGUAAAACCUUUCCUUAUGCUUUCUAAUUGAUAUCUUAGUAUACUUGGAACGCUUGGUAACUUAGACAGGUGAGGAUUGGGUCGGAACGUGGAUCCUAUGAUGCGAAAGAAAAGAGAUGAACCCGAUGGCGGUGUUGAUGAAAUAGAAAGUAGUGUUAAAUAUUAAAGAACAAACGAGUGGCAUCCAAAUGUUAAAGAAUAACGAGUGGCAUUAAUGUAGUGUAAAUGACACUAGAGGUUUGAGAACCUAGGGAUAGAUGGAUCCCUUAGAAAAUGCCUUGUGAAUAAUGAAUUUAGAAAAGCUAAAUAGCAUUGCAUGAAUGUCGGGAACAGAUGAUUCUGCGAGAGAUGUUGACCCGAGUUGUAGGGUAUCCUAACUUGGAGAGGAUUUGAUCGGGUUGUUGACCCUAGUUGUAGGGUAUCCUCACUUGGAGAGGAUAGAUCUAGCUCACAGUCUGCUUUUGGGUUGGUAUAGCAAUCCAUAUUCCCACAUGGAGGGGAUUGUCGUCGAGUACUUCGGAGUGUCGUGCGACUAGGACCACUUGGAUGUCCGGACCACAUGGAGGUCCACAGACGGUCCCGGGCUUGGGUGCACUUGGAGCGCCCUCCCCACUUUGGGAUUGAAAGGUGAGUUAUUGGCGAACCUAAGGGCUUCGCUACAGAUUGGGUAAAGGAACAGUGAACAAUGUCAUUGAACAUUAUUAUUCGAACAUGGAUCGAAUUCGUUAGCAUGAUAGUAAACCUUUACUAUAUGAUGCAUGCAUUCAUUCUACAUGAUUAUGGGCAUAGUAGCAUAGAUUUCCUUUAUGCCUUUACUGCUUUGAGAUAUCUAUCUAUCUAUCUACCUGUUGUUGCUUGUGCCCACUUGGACUUAGUGGGGAGAUCGGCAGAGUCGGCGGCCGAGCCCACUGGGAACUAUGGAAGAUAGUUUUCACCCCACUCUAUUUCCAGUGGUAGGUACAGGGCUGCCGAGAGAGGACCGCGGCAAGGGCAUCGCGCCCGAUCAGUGAGACCGCGGUAGUAUAGUAGCUUUCCUUUUGCAUUAGCACACCUAUGUAUUGAGAGAGACUCAUGUAGGUGAGGUUAGAGAGCUAUGCAUUUUGAGGAUCGAAUGUAUUCAUUUUGGGAAAAAGAUGUAAAUGUAAAAGAAUGCAACUAUUGUAAUAGCUAUUAAAGUACUCUCUUUAUUUCACAUGCUUUAUCUUGUGGAUUACUCGCUCUUGUAGUUGUUGGCACUAUUUGUGCCCCGUCGAAUGUGUAUGUUUAGAAUUUAAAUUUUCUGGGUAAAUUCUUGUACACAUUCCUGUUGUCGAGCCUUGGGCUGACAGGGGAGGUGCUGUCCGUUCGGCGGUCCGCCGCCGCCCCCGAAUCGUGCCAAAUUGGUUGUAGUUUCGGGGCCGGGCGUGACAGCUGUUGUGGUAUCAAAGCAUUAAGAGCAAGUAAAGAGAGAGUCUAGGAUGACCUAGGAGACCCUAGGUUUGUGAGCCCUAAGGUUAUAGGUGUGUGAGCGGAACGUGAACCUAUAGCGAUGGCGGAAGUUGAUUCGAUUGGUUCGAGGUCGGCUUUGUGUCUCUAGUUGCGACUAGAGAUAGAUUCAAGUAGUAUGAGUUCUUGUCUUGAGGUGUGUAACACACUGGACCUGUGCAAAUCGCGAGGUUCGAGUGUUUGAUUUGUGUGUCGAGCUUUUUCAGACUUUCUGAAGGGUCGUAGACAGUGUUCCGACCUAUGGCUCGCAUCCCGAGAAUUGAGGGUUUAAACUUGUACCAAAAUCCCGAAAGGUUGGAUUGUUGGUGUGCUCUCGGGUUAGCCUCAGCCAGGCUGUGUACUGGUACAGCCUUGAUGGUUGUACCGGUACAGAAUUUGUACCGGUACCCUUGAUGGAUGUACCGGUACACAAUGGAUUUCCUGACAACCCGAGGCUCGGGUUAGGCAGUUUCGCAGGAGGUGUACCGGUACACUUUCCCGUGUACCGGUACACAAUGCAGAUUUUGGCUGUUUCGUGGAGGGGUGUUUUUGCAAUUGUUGCAACCCCUAUUUAAGCACACCCCAGCCCCUUGGGGGCUGUUUUGAGCCCUAGAACAGUGGAGAGCAAGGUAAGAGGAGUUCCUUUGAUUUUUCUUCCCCAUUUUUGAUGGAUUUUGGUUGGUUUUGAUCCCUCCUCUCUUCUUCACCUUGCUUUUUGUUGGGUUCCACCAUGGUUGAAGGCUUGAUGCUUGGAGAGGAGCUUACUUGGGAGGAGAUCUCCCACCCCAUUUGGAUUGGAGCCUAGUUUGGAGCUUCUAAGAGGUGAGUAAGUAGAUCCUUUCCUCUAGAUCUAGUUUUUGUUUGUUCUUUUGAUUGAAACCCUAGAUUUGGCACAUUAGGGCUAAAAAUGGGGAUCUUCGAUUUGAGGGCUUUGGAACCAAAUUGAUGGGUUUAGAACCUUUGUUUAGGUCAGAUUGGAAGGACUCUAACUCCCAUUUGGAGAUCGUGAGAGCCUCCUUCGCAAUCGGUAAGUUUUCUCCAACCCUAGCUUGAGAAGCUUAAUGAUUGAGCUAGGUAUUGUUCGUUUGGUUCAUGUGACACUUGUUUUUAUACCUCUAGGGUACUCGAAGAGCUAAGAGGACCCCCUCGUUGAGGAACGAGGAGUCGUUGUCAUCGUGGAUUGGCUUCGUGAAAUGGGAAGCGAAUGGCCCCUACUGCCUUUCUACUUGAUGUAAAAUAUGUAAAUUCAUUUCUAUGCUAAUGGAAAUCAUAUGAAUUUAAGGCACUUAAAACUGCAUGCCUUGUGUAAUAUAAAAAUUUCAACUAUAUAGUAGGAGCUAUAUGAGUAAAUGCUCAUUACGGAGAAAAGUGGUUAUUCAUGCAAAUGGAAUAUACAUCUCAUUAUGAGGAUUUAGCCUUGGAAUAUGUACUUUUGGAACAUAGUUGCAUGCUUUGACAUACGAGAACAAGAGUGUCAUCAAGGGGCACUUGAAACUAGUAAACUAUGAACUGCAACACAGAGCAUACUGAUACGCCACACAUAUCUGCUAUAUUCCUGUUAGAGACAUGAUGACAUAGAGGUAGGCCAUUGAGAUACUUGAUUUAUUCCAUGUUGUUAGACAUGACGACUUGGUACUUGAGACAGAUCAUUGCUUGCUUGCCAUUGUGCUCAUUCGCACAUGCUUGUGAAGGGUCGCUCCCUACAAGGCGGCACUCCGGAGUAAGCCAUCGCGACAUAUGCCCCUAGCGGGAUUGGGCGCCGAAAGUGGAUUGCCGUGGGGAGACUCAUCCCUAGAGGGGGAUGUUGACUACCACGGGCAUUAGGCACGGCGCAGGCCAGACAGCCUUCGGGAGGGUCUUAUAUGAUUGGGACUUGGUGACAGAACAUGCUAUUGAACCUUAUAACUGUUAAAGUGGACUUGAAACUAGACUAGUAACAAUCCGACAUCUUUACUAUUACACUGUGACUUGGGUAGUUGUAUAAUUAUGCUUACAUGUUGGUGUUCAUGUGCAUAUAGCUAGUAGUUGCUUUCUUACUUAUACAAACAUUCUAAGUAGAGAUAUCAUGAUUAUUGGUACUCGUUUAUUUAUUUACUUACAGUGCAUUAUGGCUUUUGUUAUAGUUGUACACUGACCCUCUUUUAUAGUUUUGGGCCUAGUGGUGCAUUUCACUAAGUCAGUAAUUGCCCACUGGGAACUAUUUAUUUAAUAGUUCUCACGCCCUGUUUCUAUGUUUCCUUUCAGAGCUUCGGCAUCGGCGCGGCACGGGAUCGCGGCAAGGGUGUCGCUUAGCUAGCUCGCGGAGAGUUAUUUUGCGCUAGGUGGUUACUCCUCCAUUUUGUAUUUUGAGAGAGGAAGGAGUUUUGUACCAUGUAUAGAGAGACCACCUUGUACUUCUUUUAGCACUUGUUAUGGGAUUCCUAUUGUACUUACUCUAUGUUUUUAUUUAGUGGACUUUCAGCUUUAUGUUUCUUUCCCUAUUGUAGAACUUAGUAUUAUAUCACGCUCUGAUACUCCUAGAUGCCUUUUAUUAUUGCUUUCAUUUCCGUUGUUUUUGUAGACGCCUUAUAUGUUUUAGACGUAUGGCGGGUCUGGACACGCGCCGGGUAGGCUUCCGCUGAGCCCCGGGGCGUGACAGAUUAAUUUGGUAUCAGAGCCUAGGGUUGAGUCUUAGGGGACCUAGCAAACCUUAGGCCGGUUGGACUAUAGGAAAUAGGCUCGUGAGAGAUGAGGUCUAUUCGACUUGUAAGCGAAGGUAUCUAGAUUGGGUAUCUUGAAUAACUCUAGAAAGUGGAGUUAAAUUGAAGUGUAUAACUCCUAACUUCGCGGAGGGUUACGUUGGCGGCCGACAACGUAACAUCGGGAGUUAGUAGUGAAGAACACUUCUUUACUUUCGCAUGAUUUGGGGUUUGCCUUUUGAGUGGGGAUGCGAUAGCGUGAGUAUUUCUAACUUGCGCUUUUAUGUUUUGUGGUGACGAUACCGAUUAGUCGCUCCCAAUCUGCCGGGGUGGACAAUGCGGCGAACUUUGAGGAGGUCGAGACCUCCGCUACCUCCGGAUCCAGCGAGGUCCGCGAGUUGAGGGGCCAGCUUGCGCCCCUCACUGAUUUAGUUACUCAGCAGGCGGAGGCGGCCCGACAUUAGACCGAGGCGGCGCGCCGACAGGAGGCGCGGAUGAAGCGCCUGGAGGAUCUACUUCUGCAGCAGGCAGCAGCUUUUAGGGAGACGCAGGGCCCUACACCGCCAGCACCAGUUGUGGACGUUGCACCGAGAGCGCCGUCCCUCGCCCCCAGUUCUUCGCGUGCGGCGCCUGCGGCUGUACUCCAGGAGGAGGUUUUGGCGGCACCACCUGUGCAGAGGCCCCCGGUUGGAGCAGCUUUUCCUACUUUGGUGGAGGGGGCGGAACGAGACAGACUGAUGGAGCGCCUCAAUGAAUUCAGGAGGUGCAGCCCCCGAGUCUUCGACGGCGAGAAGGUCGACCACUGGAUCGGGGAGAAGUGGUUGAUGCAUAUGGAGAAGCUCUUCCGCGACAUCUUCGUGGAGGAGAGGGAUCGAGUUUGGCUCGCCACCCACCACUUGGACGGCGAGGCCUACCGGUGGUGGUUGGAUUUCCAGGAGCACCCCAGCACUGACUUGGCGGCUAUCACUUUGACGAGGUUCAAGGAGCUUCUUCUUGCGCACUAUUUCCCGACGAGCGUGAAGAGGAAGAUGGAGCAGGAUUUGCGCAACUUGCGCCAGGGUGACGGACCGUAGCCGAGUACGAGAGGGAGUUUUCUCGGCUUCUGCAUUGCGUGCCUUUCAUCGUAGGGGACGACGAGGACAAGGCCCGCAUCUUCGAGCAGGGAUUGAGACCGUCUAUCUUUCGGUUUGUGCAAUCCUCUAACCUCCAAACCUACCGGGAGGUGGUGGAUCGCGCGCUCAUCGUGGAGAGCGGCGCGGCGGAUGUCCAAGAGCAGCGUGAGGCUAGAGACAAAGGGAAGGCCAAGAGGCCUGCGGCUGAGGGUGCGGGCCAGACGCACUCUAGGAAGCCGCCGAAGCAUUCGAGGAGUCAGCAGCGUGGGCGUGGCUCGGCGACUUACCGUGGAGGUUCUGACCGACGCCGACCUCCCCAGUGCGUGAUCUGUGGUGGUCCCCACAUUCCACCGCAGUGCCCGCAGCGGGGAGGGAGGUGUUUCCAGUGUGGCCAGGAGGGCCACUUCCGGACCGAGUGCCCGAGGGGAUCUUCACCGGCACCGUCGACUGCAUCGGCACCGGCUCUACCAGCCGCCAGCCAGGGGACUCCAUCGACACAGUACCAGCCUGGGCGACCACCCGUCCAGCGCCAGGGCGAGGGAUCUCGACAGGCCCCGAGUGGGCGUAUGUAUGCCGCUCAGACCGAGGAGGCGGCAGCAGCCGAGGAUGUGGUUGCAGGUAUCAUUUUACUUGAUGGCAUUAGAGUUCGUGCUUUAUUUGAUACCGGUGCAUCGCAUUCAUUUAUUGAUCGGCUGUUUGCCGAGUUGCAUGGCAUCCCAUUGGUUUCUUUACUGCAUCCGGGACAUGUUGUUGUACCCGACCACAUCUUGGACAUUAGAGAGUAUAGCCCCAGUUGCCCUGUGCGGGUAGGAAACUGGAUUAUGCCUGUAGAUUUGCUAGCUUUGCGCAAGCUUGGGGAUUUUGAUGUGGUCUUGGGUAUGGAUUGGUUGACCAAGUAUUACGCCACGAUUGAUUGCAAGAAUCGCACGGUUACUUUUAGAGAACCGGGGCAAACGGAGGUGGUAUUUUGUGGAUGCCGGAGUUCACUAUUUGCGAUGACGAUCAGCUCGUUUCGAGCUAGGCAGCUGAUCAGCAGAGGUUGUAUAGCCUACCUGGCUAGUGUCGUGCUGAGGGGCGCGGAUGACACCCCUAGGAUCGAGGAUAUCCCGGUGGUGCGAAAGUUCCAGGAUGUGUUUCCAGCUGAGCUACCGGGUAUGCCUCCUGAUAGGGAGAUUGAGUUUGUGGUAGAUCUCGUCCCUGGGACUACCCCAAUCUCAAAGGCACCUUAUAGGAUGGCACCGGCAGAGCUGAGGGAGCUGAGGGCACAGCUGCAGGAUUUGUUGGACAAAAGCUUCAUUCGACCGAGCGUUUCACCUUGGGGAGCACCCGUUUUGUUCGUCAAGAAAAAGGACGGAUCGCUCCGCCUUUGUGUGGAUUAUCGUGAACUUAUAAAGUCACGAUCAAGAACAAGUAUCCGUUGCCAAGGAUCGACGACUUGUUUGAUCAGCUUCAGGGAUCAUGUGUGUAUUCCAAGAUAGACUUGCAGUCGGGAUACCACCAGUUAAAGAUUAAACCCGAGGAUGUAUCUAAGACGGCUUUCAGGAUACGGUAUGGACACUAUGAGUUCACAGUUAUGCCGUUUGGGCUUACUAAUGCCCCGGCAGCUUUUAUGGAUCUAAUGAACCGUGUUUUCAAGCCUUAUCUGGACAGGUUCGUCGUGGUGUUGAUCGACUACAUUUUGGUCUACUCCUGAAGCGAUGUGGAUCACGAGGAGCAUUUGAGGAUUGUACUCCAAGUACUUCGGGAAAAGGAGCUUUAUGCCAAGUUGAAGAAAUGUGAAUUUUGGCUUCGAGAGGUAGCUUUCCUUGGACACUUGAUUUCGAGAUCGGGUAUAGCCGUGGAUCCCAAAAAGAUUGAAGCAAUCAGGGAUUGGCCGAGACCGACGAGUGUCACGGAGAUACUGAGCUUCCUUGGAUUGGCCGGUUACUACCGGAGAUUCGUAGAGGGGUUUGCUAAACUGUCUACUCCCCUCACGAGGCUCACGCAUAAAGGUGUUAAGUUCAUUUGGAAUGAUGCGUGCGAGAGAAGCUUCCAAGAGUUGAAGCAACGAUUGACUACCGCCCCGAUCUUGACCCUACCAGUAGCUGAGCAGGGUAUGUGGUUUAUAGUGAUGCUUCACUUAAUGGUUUGGGCUGUGUAUUGAUGCAGGAUGGCAGGGUGAUCGCGUAUGUUUCUCGCCAACUAAAGGAUUAUGAAAAGAACUACCCUACGCAUGAUUUGGAGUUGGCGGCCGUAGUGUUCGCAUUGAAGCUAUGGCGCCACUACCUUUAUGGCGAACGGUGUGAAGUAUACACGGAUCACAAGAGCUUAAAGUACCUGUUUACUGAGAAGGAGCUGAACUUGAGGCAGCGCAGAUGGUUGGAGCUACUCAAGGAUUAUAAUCUGACGAUUCUUUACCACCCGGGCAAGGCUAACGUGGUGGCAGAUGCGCUAAGUAGGAAAUCGAUGGAAAACUUAGCGAUGCAUGUUGUGAGUCAACCGCAGUUGAUCGAGCAGAUGAAGCGGUUGGAGUUGGAGAUAGUGACUCCUGACACACCCUUGAGAUUGAUGACAUUAGUAGUGCAACCUACCUUGCUGGAUAGAAUUAAAGAAAAG
RNAcentral lists this long non-coding RNA (14188 nucleotides) under Ananas comosus (pineapple). RNAcentral's name for it is "long non-coding RNA (ACOM_LNC000977)". Lineage: Eukaryota; Viridiplantae; Streptophyta; Magnoliopsida; Poales; Bromeliaceae. The record is from RNAcentral.